This 293-nucleotide ribosomal RNA is filed under the name uncultured Bacteroidota bacterium. Its description in RNAcentral is "uncultured Bacteroidetes bacterium partial 16S ribosomal RNA". It matches the Rfam family "Bacterial small subunit ribosomal RNA", at positions 663 to 957 of the family's 1533-position model. Lineage: Bacteria; Pseudomonadati; Bacteroidota. The record is from RNAcentral.
CGAUUGGGCCCGACGUCGCAUGCUCCCGGCCGCCAUGGCGGCCGCGGGAAUUCGCAUUAUAAAUACACUAAUAAUCAACUGACACUGAUGGACGAAAGCGUGGGUAGCGAACAGGAUCAGAUACCCUGGUAGUCCACGCCGUAAACGAUGGUCACUAGCUGUUUGGACUUCGGUCUGAGUGGCUAAGCGAAAGUGAUAAGUGACCCACCUGGGGAGUACGUUCGCAAGAAUGAAACUCAAAGGAAUUGACGGGGGCCCGCACAAGCGGUGGAGCAUGUGGUUUAAUUCGAUGA